Molecule: ribosomal RNA, 253 nt
Filed under: uncultured bacterium
Lineage: Bacteria
Description: partial 16S ribosomal RNA
Rfam family: Bacterial small subunit ribosomal RNA
Source: RNAcentral
UACAGAGGGGGCAAGCGUUGUUCGGAAUUACUGGGCGUAAAGGGCGCGUAGGCGGCCCUCUUUGUCGCGUGUGAAAGCCCCGGGCUCAACCUGGGAAUUGCGCUCGAGACUGGUCUGCUUGAGUUCGGGAGAGGAGAGUGGAAUUCCCAGUGUAGAGGUGAAAUUCGUAGAUAUCGGGAGGAACACCGGUGGCGAAGGCGGGUCUCUGGGCCGAUACUGACGCUGAGGAGCGAAAGCGUGGGGAGCGAACAGG